This is a long non-coding RNA of Canis lupus familiaris (dog), 3714 nucleotides long. RefSeq lists it as uncharacterized. The transcript has 3 exons. Lineage: Eukaryota; Metazoa; Chordata; Mammalia; Carnivora; Canidae. The record is from RefSeq and is a predicted model, not a curated record.
GUCUUCGUUGGGAUGGACUGCUCUCGCUGACCAAUCAUAUCUCAGAUCGGGCGCAAGCGUAUUCGGGAGUUCACGCGAACGAGGGCGCGGAAGGCAAGAAGCGCGCAUGCGCCUGGGCGGCUAGCUGGCGGCACCUCACAGCAUCCCUGAGGCCUGGGGGUACCACGGGCCCUCUCACUGCCCUGCCUGCCCCCUCCUGAACCUUGAGGGGUGUGGGGUGCUCACCGGUGUCGCUGGAGGUGGUGAUACCUGGGUCACUGUGGGACCGAGGCAGCAGCAGCGGUGGCGGCGCAGGAGCCGGGUGAGGAGGCCGCUGCCCCGGGGGGGUGAGGGAACCUGAGCUGUCGCUGAAGCGGCGAGUGGGACCGCGGGCUGGAGGGGCUGUGGGGGCUGGGGGCCGGCUGCCUCCGCGGGGGACCCGCCGCCUCAGCUCGGGGAAGCAGGGUCCCACCCAGGGCGGCCAGCCCUCCAGCCGGUGGCAGCUGCGGGCGGUCGUGGGGGCACCCAGAGGCGGUGGGGCCUCAGGGGCAGAGCAGGAGUAGGAGCGGGCAGCCCGCGGGGGCCGCCGAGGCAGGGGGCUGUCCUCGAAGGGGCCCCGCAGGCCGCAGUCCAGGCUGAGGCAGUAGCCAGCUCGGCUGCGCUGGAUGGAGCGGAAGAGCACGUAAUCGACGGAUCGCACGGAGCCCUGCAGCUCCAGCAGGCAGGAGUCUUCUGAUGGGCUGGAGCCCCCGGGGAAGUCACCAAUGGCUGACAGCACCAAAGACCCGCUGUCCAUGGACACUGCAGCCCAGCCGGAGUCCACCCUCCCGGCCUUCUGCUCACCAUCUACGAUGGAGGCCACGCGGUCGCAGAUGCAGGAGCUAUCGUGAAGCUGAGGAUCAAACAGAGUGGCCUGCAGAAAAUACAAGUGUCAAGGGGCCAGCUGGUGUGAUGGACAGAACUCUGAAGACCGAGAUUUCAGGCCCGCUUGGCCACUCUGUACAGGUCAGUUAUGUGGGCCUCAGUUUCCACAUCUGUAAAAUAGAAGUAAUAGUUCCUACCCCUGCCCCCACCAAAUCAGGCUCCAGGGAAGACCAAAGAUGACCAUGGAUGUGCUGGUGCUAUCAAGAUGUGACAACUGCUGUUUCCCUGUCUGGCGACAGCAGCUCCCUCAGCUUUUCAGGCUCUCUCCCCAGCUCCCCAGCCCACCCUAAGCCCUGCUCUCACCUGGCUGUCUCCUCGUAGCCCCAUGACAGCCUCAUAAGAAGGGGGGCAGUCGGUAGGGUACAAGGGCACUGGGCUGUCCAUGGAGCCAUUGUAGGUGAUGCUGGCAAAAUGAGGGAGAGUAAGAAGCUUGGAGAAGCAUUCCUAAUCCACAGUGCUCCCUCCCCACCAGUCCAGGCUGCAGCCCCAGCCCCCUUCCUCAGUUCCCAGUAGGAACCCACCAGGUCUCACCUCUGCGCAUCUGUUUCAGAGCUACAGGUGUACUCUGGGGGAUAGUAGGGCGGAGGGGGUACUGGUGGUACAAAUUCUUCCAAAUCCAGCAUGGUGUGCAGGAGAGGGGCUGGGGGCGACGAUGCACAGCCCAGGGACCCCAAAGGGCCAGAGACUGAGCGCUCAGGGGCCAGCUGCUGGGGAGCAAGCAGGUCAGCAAGCCUGGUUUCUGGGAGUCCAGCUCCUAGGCUCCCAAAAUCUUCCAUGUUUUCCUGGCCCUGCCCUCUUCCUCAGCCAAAACUGGCUCCUCUCUGCCCCAGCCAUCUAGAAAGUCCUCCACUUUAUGGGCUUACCUCCACUCAGAACUGCCACCUGCCUUCUGCCCCCACUACAACAUCAACUCUUUAUCCUUGUCCCCAUCUAGGAUCUUCUGGACUCCACCCAAGGGCAGUCCCAUUGUCUAAGGUUCCCUCUCUGCGCCGACUAGCAUCACAUAAUUCUCUCACUCCCCGUCCUUCUCCUCCUCAUCAUUCCUUGGACCACCUAAAUAUCCCUACAGUAGACACAUAUAUACACUAGAGAUCCCUACGCUAUACUGCCUAAUAAGUGGUGCUCAGAAGCCCAGCACUGUAGCCACCAUCCCCUCAAGCCCAAUCCCAGCACACACACAUCCCUACCCCCAUCACACCUGCUCGGCUUUGACCCUGGCCCCCUCACCGUGUGCACGAGGUCCAGGGAGAAGAUUUGGAUGCAGCAGAUGAUAGCUGAGAGGGUACAGAUGAUGGCGGCACAAAUGGUCAGCCCACAGACACUAAAGAGCAGGUUCUGAAAGCAAGAGUGGAAGAGGGAUGUGAGCGGGGCCUAGGGAGGGGUGACUCUCACCAGUUCUGGGUCCCUGAGGACCCCAGAAGGGGAGGCAAAAGUGAAAGCCAGGAGAAUGAUAGGAGAGAAAAGAAUGAAUGAGGCAGGGAGAGCACGCUCACCUUGAGGGCUCCUCGGGCUUCGUCACAGGUGGAGUUAGGGGCAACUUUCAGUUCCUGGCCUGACUCUGGGCAGGGCCGGAGGAGGGGAACGGAGGGGCAGCACACACAGACCUUUCCUUCCUGGGUGGCAGUGAGGAGGGUGAAGCAGCCCGAGUCAGGACAAACCCAGGUGUCCUGCACAGCUCCCCCCACCAGUUCUUUCAGGCUUUCCCUCCUCAGUCUCACCAUGGAGCAGUCUUGGAAGUCUCGGGCCAGCUGAGCAUUCUUACAGGAGAGAACAGAGCCAGCCAUGCUGAGCAUGACACAGAGCACGGAAAGCAGGGAGAAGAAGGAGAUCUGGGGGAAACAGGUGCACACUCAGGGCUGGAGCCCUCAUUCAGGCCAGUUCUCUUCUCGGGGGCAUAAGUGGGCAUCCCCUCCGGUCCUGGGCACCUGACUCCCAGUGGGCACCAGAUCCCAACACCUACCACUAAAGUGAAUGGCCGCUUCCAAGACACAACGCCAACUACCCCGGAGAACGCCAGCUGGGGACAGAGUGGGUACAGGCUCAGCCUGGCAAGGGGGAGGCACAUGAGUGAGCCCCUCACCACAGGGCGUGCCCAGCCCUGUAAGAAGACAGAAGCCCAGAAGAAGAAGGAGAGGCCAGCAUUUGGACUGGCAGCUAAUAUGGAGGGGUGGGGCCCCAGGAGCCUACCCCACCCAAGGACUGUGCACCCAACUCACCGAGAACCCAGCCCAAGAUGGGCAGGACCUCUUGAUGCUCUCAGUGGUGGUGACGGAGGAGGCCACCAUGCUGAAGGUGACCACCAGGACGCCCAGGAGCACCUGGGCCAGCCCUAGCGUGAGCAGGGCCUGCAGCCAGGGUCGGUGGAGGCGGAGGUGGGUAAGGCCCCGGGUGCUGGGUCGGCUGGUCAGCGAGCGGCUGGAGUCACUGGGCGAGGGCAUCAUGCCUGCUGCCCGGUUGCCUGCGCCUCGCUCGGCCUCCACUGUCGCUUGGGAACAUCUCAGAGGCGCCCAAGGCCCCGUCCUCCCUCCUCUCCACCCUCUUUGCUCUAGAACCCACCUCCCGGAUGGGGCCCCUGGGGCAUGGCCUAGAGCAUCCAGCUGGGCGGGGGCCCAAGGGAGGGGCGUCGCGGAGGGAUCGCGGAGCGCUCCCUCCCCACCGCGGGCACCGGACGGGCACCGUGCCCGGGACGGCGAUGAGGUCGCUGGGGCGCCGGCUCAUCGCAUCUCCCUGGAGAACAGGGGCGCCGAGAAGGGCAGGUCCAGGAGCAGCUGCGGUCCGGAACCCGGGGAAAGGCGGGGAGGGUAGAGGCGA